GCUUGCGUAGGCAGAACUGUACUAAAAUUGGAAAGAUACAGAGAAAAUUAGCAUGGCCUCUACACAAGGAUGACAUGCAAAUUCAUGAAGCGUUCCAUGUUUUU
RNAcentral lists this small nuclear RNA (104 nucleotides) under Dasypus novemcinctus (nine-banded armadillo). The record is from RNAcentral. Lineage: Eukaryota; Metazoa; Chordata; Mammalia; Cingulata; Dasypodidae.